UGCGGAGUAGAGCAGUUCGGUAGCUCGUCGGGCUCAUAAUCCGAAGGUCAUAGGUUCAAAUCCUAUCUCCGCUA
This 74-nucleotide transfer RNA is filed under the name Candidatus Shikimatogenerans bostrichidophilus. RNAcentral describes it as "tRNA-Met". It matches the Rfam family "tRNA". Rfam says of the family: Transfer RNA (tRNA) molecules are approximately 80 nucleotides in length. Their secondary structure includes four short double-helical elements and three loops (D, anti-codon, and T loops). The record is from RNAcentral. Lineage: Bacteria; Pseudomonadati; Bacteroidota; Flavobacteriia; Flavobacteriales.